AAAUUGCACCAGGGGUGCCUGUGUUCUCAACAGUCUGAGAGCCUCUUAGCCUGGACUGUUGUGAGAUGGGCUGAGAAAGUCCCUUUGAACCUGAACAGGAUAAUGCCUGCGAAGGGAGUGUGCAAUUCUAUUUUC
Molecule: non-coding RNA, 135 nt
Filed under: Sorghum bicolor (sorghum)
Lineage: Eukaryota; Viridiplantae; Streptophyta; Magnoliopsida; Poales; Poaceae
Also listed under: 2 other names
Description: TPP sequence
Rfam family: TPP riboswitch aptamer (THI element)
About the family: Vitamin B(1) in its active form thiamin pyrophosphate (TPP) is an essential coenzyme that is synthesised by coupling of pyrimidine and thiazole moieties in bacteria.
Source: Rfam by way of RNAcentral